UGCAGGAAGACGGCCCUAUGGGUUGUAAACUGCUUUUAUACGGGAAUAAACCUCCUUACGUGUAGGGAGCUGAAUGUACUGUAAGAAUAAGGAUCGGCUAACUCCGUGCCAGCAGCCGCGGUAAUACGGAGGAUCCAAGCGUUAUCCGGAUUUAUUGGGUUUAAAGGGUGCGUAGGCGGCUUAUUAAGUCAGGGGUGAAAGACGGUGGCUCAACCAUCGCAGUGCCUUUGAUACUGAUGAGCUUGAAUUUACCUGAGGUAGGCGGAAUGUGACAAGUAGCGGUGGAAUGCAUAGAUAUGUCACAGAACACCAAUUGCGAAGGCAGCUUACUAAAGUAAUAUUGACGCUGAGGCACGAAAGCGUGGGGAUCAAACAGGAUUAGAUACCCUGGUAGUCCACGCCCUAAACGA
RNAcentral lists this ribosomal RNA (410 nucleotides) under uncultured bacterium. Its description in RNAcentral is "bacterial SSU rRNA". It matches the Rfam family "Bacterial small subunit ribosomal RNA", at positions 402 to 809 of the family's 1533-position model. The record is from RNAcentral.